UACGAAGGGGGCUAGCGUUGCUCGGAAUGACUGGGCGUAAAGGGCGCGUAGGCGGAUGGUACAGUCAGAUGUGAAAUUCCUGGGCUCAACCUGGGGGCUGCAUUUGAUACGUGCUGUCUUGAGUUCGGAAGAGGGUCGUGGAAUUCCCAGUGUAGAGGUGAAAUUCGUAGAUAUUGGGAAGAACACCGGCGGCGAAGGCGGCGACCUGGUCCGAUACUGACGCUGAGGCGCGAAAGCGUGGGGAGCAAACAGG
Molecule: ribosomal RNA, 253 nt
Filed under: uncultured bacterium
Lineage: Bacteria
Description: partial 16S ribosomal RNA
Rfam family: Bacterial small subunit ribosomal RNA
Source: RNAcentral